Molecule: ribosomal RNA, 202 nt
Filed under: uncultured bacterium
Lineage: Bacteria
Description: partial 16S ribosomal RNA
Rfam family: Bacterial small subunit ribosomal RNA
Source: RNAcentral
AGUCUGCAACUCGACUGCACGAAGCUGGAAUCGCUAGUAAUCGCGGAUCAGCACGCCGCGGUGAAUACGUUCCCGGGCCUUGUACACACCGCCCGUCACACCAUGGAAGUCUGCAAUGCCCGAAGCCGGUGGCCUAACCACUUAUGUGGAAGGAGCCGUCUAAGGCAGGCAGAUGACUGGGGUGAAGUCGUAACAAGGUAAC